GUGCAUGCCCGGCUGCCGUUGCUGCCCCUGCCUCGUACAAACGUCAGAGAAGGCACAUGACACGCCCCUGGGGGCCAUCUGGCCGAAGUUCACCUGCGGGGCUGAGUGGAGGAUGCUAGGUUGCUGUGCUGUUUCUCCUACUGUGUUGCUGCCGCAUCACCCCUCAGAAAAACCGGGUCCUCAGUUGCCUGCGGUUUGCACUCACCAAAUAUAAUUAGCAAUUUGCAAUUCACCCGUAGGAUUAUUCCAGCCUCUGUAAUCACACACAGAAGGAUGAGCCUUCCUCGUGAGGGUUGGAGAUGGAGGGAGAAGGGAUCGAGAGUAAGGAUGGGACGGAGGUUGUGGAGCAGAAGACCAACACGCCAGAAAGGAAAAUAAUGAUCAUCUCAAUUUUUAUAUGUGGAGGUAUUGCUUUUCUUCUUUGGGGCAUUUCAAGAUUUCCCAGAAAAUUUGGAAUUCCAAGGCACCUUAGAAACAAGACAUGCCAAGAAAAUUUAACUAUAUGUCCACAAGGCUGGAACUGAAUCAAUAAUAAUUGCUUCUUUCAAUCUGAACAUGAAACAACUUAGAUCAAUGGCUGAGAAAACUGCAAAAGUUAUUAUGGAUCUCUGUCCAGGCUCAAUCUCAGAAUGAAAUGGGAAUCUUUGAUGCAUUAUCUGGGGCCCUCUUUAUAUUGGUUUGAACUGAGCAAGCACAAUGCAAACAAAAUGUGGAUGUGGGCAGAUGGAGCUACAUUCAGCAAUCGUGAAAGAAUCGACUUUUGUGCUAUGAGUCAUGGGAGCAAAAAGUGAGUAUUUAGAGAUGGAGAGGACAACGAAGAAGGAAGCCCUGGUGACUUGAAGAAAUCAUGGAGAGUUCUCUGGAUUCCCACAAACCUAUGGGGUUUAGAUUCCAGCUAAUACUUACACGGGUCUCAGAAGGACAGAGGGCAAGGGUUAACAUCUGGCUGUUAUUAAAAUCUCUGCGCUUCUUAAUAUUUUA
Molecule: long non-coding RNA, 981 nt
Filed under: Pongo abelii (Sumatran orangutan)
Lineage: Eukaryota; Metazoa; Chordata; Mammalia; Primates; Hominidae
Description: lincRNA
Source: RNAcentral